RNAcentral lists this unclassified non-coding RNA (182 nucleotides) under plant metagenome. Its description in RNAcentral is "partial contains small subunit ribosomal RNA and internal transcribed spacer 1". The stretch from base 1 to 46 matches the Rfam family "Eukaryotic small subunit ribosomal RNA", at positions 1786 to 1831 of the family's 1831-position model. The record is from RNAcentral.
AAGUCGUAACAAGGUUUCCGUAGGUGAACCUGCGGAAGGAUCAUUAAAGAAUUCGGCUUCGCGGCCAAGUUCUCACCCUUUGUAUACCGAAACCAUGUUGCUUUGGCAGGCCUGUCAUUGCUCGGCCUGCAGUGUUAACAACCUAGAAUCUCUGCUGUCUGAGUACUAUACAAUAGUUAAAA